GACGUCAGUCUCAUUUACUAUUUAGAUGUAUAAACGUUGAUUAAAGAUAUAGGUAGUUAAUCAUUGUCUGAGCUAAAACAAUGAAUUUUAAAUUACUUGUUUUUGUGGUAACAAUAUUAGUGGGAUCUAUAUCUGCAGCAUCGCUAGCGAAGGCCGAACAAAAAGACAAAGACAUUGAAAUUAUUAUCAUUCGUAUACCUCGCGAAGUUGUGUGCUUUGGUGUAGUACCUAAUGGAUCUGAAGAUGAAAACAAUGGUUGUCGUGCUACUUGCACUUUGAUGGGCAACAAAAAUAGAAGAAGAAAUUGUGUUAAUCGACACUGUAAAUGUAUAGCAAAGUGAUUGUAUUUAAUUCACUAGCACUGAGCACUAAUUAAAAGUUUAUAAAGUUUUUUAAACAAA
Photinus pyralis (common eastern firefly) is the source of this 401-nucleotide long non-coding RNA. RefSeq lists it as uncharacterized. The record is from RefSeq and is a predicted model, not a curated record. The transcript is spliced from 2 exons. NCBI's taxonomy places the organism in Eukaryota, Metazoa, Arthropoda, Insecta, Coleoptera, Lampyridae.